GGCUUAUCAAGUGGAAUUGGAGUCUUUGGCAGUAAUGCUAGAGGAGGAGAAUGAGCAGUUGCUGAAAGAGAAGGUAACUUCUCAUUGUAAUUGUUUUAGGAAAAAAAAAAAAUUGGAAUUUUAGGUGCGUAGAAUUCUUUGCUGUAAUCAGAGUAUACUUCUAGUUUUGCAUGGAGAUAGUUAACACAUUCUAGAGAACUACUUGUAGCUAAGCUAUGGUAUAAAAUAAAAUAAUGAUAACAAUAACAAAAUCAACGUCAUUUUUUUAAGCACUUUCUCAGCUGGCUAUUUGAAAUUGGCCACUUUGCACUGUUUCAAUGUUUUGCCAUUAUGUUGUUGUCAAAAAAAAAAAAAAAUUUUGCUGUUGAUAGGGUUUUCCUAUUAACAUGGUCCCUUGCACAACUUUAACAUGAAUUAACUUGCUCUAUCUGCAGUGGAUCCAAGGAAAUGCCUUUAACUAGUGAUUUAUCACUUGCUGACUUAAUUACUUGUAGGCGAGCUAUAGGGAAAAAAUAGAGACUUUGUGAUUGGUUUGGCUGCUUACUUUGAAGUGAAGUGUACCAUCAAUUCAAGUAAUGAGGUCUGCCUUCAUUGUUAAUAUCAUGUUCUUGGUGUUGUCUACCUGAAGCAGUGCAUCUAAUUUUGUUCUCAUUGUUAUCAUCAGAGAUGUAUUAAAUUAGACUAGUGUCUAAUACAUGCAAGUUUUAAUUGUCUUUCCUAGAAUGUGAAAUACUUUGAUUUUCUCUAACUUUUGGAGUCAUUAAUGAAAAAAAAAAUAUAAGUAAAUUAAGAAUCCCUGUGCAUCACUGUACAUCUAAGGCCAAUUGUCUUAUCUUUUAGCUGCAUUCGUGUGUCUAUUUCAGACUGCUUAAGUUUUAGUCCUAUUACUUGUUCUCUUCUACUUUGUUUUUUUAGUUCUCUGAAACAGCUUUCAAAUAUGUAAAUGAGUAAGAUUGUGUUAUUCAAUUUUUGUUUUAUAAUUGGUGUUUCAACUCAAAUGCUAAGGUUGUUUAAUCUGGUUUUAUUUAUUGCUUUUGGCAAUUGGUGUUAGUUACUGUUUCCCUACCUCCUGACUCCUCUUUCCUCCUUCCUGAUAUCUCUUCUUAAUGUGUUGAUUUACUCACUUGCACAGAUUCUCAGUACUCAACUCACACUGGUUAUGGCAUUCAUAUAGAUGAUAUUCAUGGCACAUAGAUCACUACUUUAAAGGGGAAAUAUCUCAAAAAGCAUUUUUCCAGGGCCUAAUCUUAAAAAUGGUUAGGAUUUCAUAUUGUGCUGUGGAACAACUUAGUUUCCAUGUUUAGGUGCAAAUGGAAAAUAUGGCAUAUAAGUAUUGUUUACUUAAAAGUAAUAUUGUCAUGGCAUCAAUUAGUGACAACAUUGUCAUAGUGCUUUUAAGUUAAACAUCAACAAGUAUUCACCAUAUUUCAUUUAGCUUGGGCUUUUACGGGCAAGCUAUUUCUUGAUUCUGUUUAUAUUGAAAAAUUGGUUGGAUCAAGUAAAUACAGUUGCUACACCUUUUAGUUUCUCCUACUGGAUUGUAUUUUUAUCUUUAAUUGUCAAUGAGUAUAAAAGAGAACAUUUAAUAUUUUAUUUAAUAUUAUUUUAUAGUCUCUCUGUCUUAUAUUUUCUUUACAAGUUGUAGGCAUAUUGAUGAUUUACUUUUUCUACAUUUCCUAAGCAAAGUAUUUUAUGUGUUCUGGCCAAUGAAAUUUGUUGUGCAGGAAGAGAGGACCAAAGAAAGGUUCCAGCAGCUUAUGGAGAAAGUGGUGC
Molecule: unclassified non-coding RNA, 1773 nt
Filed under: Hevea brasiliensis (rubber tree)
Lineage: Eukaryota; Viridiplantae; Streptophyta; Magnoliopsida; Malpighiales; Euphorbiaceae
Source: RNAcentral